GCGUUGGUAGUUUAGUGGAAAAAACAUUUGCCUUCUAAGCAAAUAAUCGUGGGUUCGAUUCCUACUCAACGUU
This is a transfer RNA of 73 nucleotides. It matches the Rfam family "tRNA". Rfam says of the family: Transfer RNA (tRNA) molecules are approximately 80 nucleotides in length.